RNAcentral lists this ribosomal RNA (497 nucleotides) under uncultured bacterium. Its description in RNAcentral is "partial 16S ribosomal RNA". It matches the Rfam family "Bacterial small subunit ribosomal RNA", at positions 28 to 507 of the family's 1533-position model. The record is from RNAcentral.
GAUGAACGCUGGCGGCGUGCUUAAUACAUGCAAGUCGAGCGAACGGACGAGUAGCUGGCUUCUCUGACGUUGGCGGCGGGCGGGUGAGUAACAUGUGGAGAACCUACCUUUAAGACUGGGAUCACUUCGGGUAACCGAUACUGAUUCCGACUGAUCUUUGCAUCAGCUUGUGUUAGAAGGUCUUUCCGUGAUGGAUGUCCUCGAUGGCUGUAUCCUCGCUGCAUUAGCUAGUUGGUAAGGUAACGGCGUAGCAAGGCAACCAUGCAGAGCCGACCGGACAGGGGGAUCGGCCACACAGGAACUGAGACACGGUCCAGACUCCGACGGGAGGCAGCAGUAGGGAAUCUUCCGCAAUGGGCGAAAGCCUGACGGAGCAACGCCGCGUGAGUGAUGAAGGUCUUCGGAUCGUAAAACUCUGUUAUUAGGGAAGAACAUAUGUCUAAGUAACUGUGCACAUCUUGACGGUACCUAAUCAGAAAGCCACGGCUAACUACGUG